This 526-nucleotide ribosomal RNA is filed under the name uncultured Acidobacteriota bacterium. RNAcentral describes it as "bacterial SSU rRNA". It matches the Rfam family "Bacterial small subunit ribosomal RNA", at positions 13 to 529 of the family's 1533-position model. Lineage: Bacteria; Pseudomonadati; Acidobacteriota. The record is from RNAcentral.
UUGAUCCUGGCUCAGAAUCAACGCUGGCGGCGUGCCUAACACAUGCAAGUCGAACGAGAAAGCGGGGGCAACUCCGUGAGUAUAGUGGCGUACGGGUGAUUAACACGUAGCUAACCUACCCUCGAGUGGGGGAUAACCUGGGGAAACCUUGGCUAAUACCGCAUAACAUCCCGAUGACUUAAGUCGAUGGGAGCAAAGGUCCGCAAGGGUCGCUUGUGGAGGGGGCUGCGGCCGAUUAGCUAGUUGGUAUGGUAACGGCCUACCAAGGCGAUGAUCGGUAGCCGGCCUGAGAGGGCGCAUGGUCACACUGGCACUGAAACACGGGCCAGACUCCUACGGGAGGCAGCAGUGGGGAAUUUUGCACAAUGCCCGAAAGGGUGAUGCAGCAACGCCGCGUGAUGGAUGAAGGCCUUCGGGUCGUAAACCUCUUUCGAUCGGGAAAAACGGCCUUGUGAAGAGCGGGGUCUGAUGGUACCGGUGGAAGAAGCCCCGGCUAACUUCGUGCCAGCAGCCGCGGUAAUAAGGU